GAUGAACGCUGGCGGCGUGCCUAAUACAUGCAAGUCGAGCGAACAGACGAGGAGCUUGCUCCUCUGACGUUAGCGGCGGACGGGUGAGUCACACGUGGAUAACCUACCUAUAAGACUGGGAUAACUUCGGGAAACCGGAGCUAAUACCGGAUAAUAUAUUGAUCCGCAUGGUUCAAUAGUGAAUGACGGUUUUGCUGUCUCUUAUAGAUGGAUCCGCGCCGCAUUAGCUAGUUGGUAAGGUAACGGCUUACCAAGGCAACGAUGCGUAGCCGACCUGAGAGGGGGAUCGGCCACACUGGAACGGAGACACGGACCAGACGCCUACGGGAGGCAGCAGUAGGGAAUGGUCCGAAAUGGGCGAAAGCCUGACGGAGCAACGCCGCGUGAGUGAUGAAGGUCUUCGGAUCGUAAAACUCUGUUAUGAGGGAAGAACAAAUGUGUAAGUAAAUAUGCACGUAGUGACGGUAACUAAUAAGAAAGCAACGGCUAACUACGUG
Molecule: ribosomal RNA, 497 nt
Filed under: uncultured bacterium
Lineage: Bacteria
Description: partial 16S ribosomal RNA
Rfam family: Bacterial small subunit ribosomal RNA
Source: RNAcentral